AUGAGGAUCCCUGCCCAUUUCCUGGGGCUGCUGAUGUUCUGGCUUCCAAGUGCCAGAUGUAACAUCCAGGUUACCCAGUCUCCAUCCACCCUGUCUGCGUCACUGGGAGAAAGAAUCACCAUCACUUGUAGAGCAAGUCAGGAUGUUAGCAAGUAUAUGGCUUGGUAUCAACAGAAACCAGGGGAAGUUCCUAAACUCCUGAUCUAUUAUGCAUCCACUUUGCAAUCAGGAGUUCCCACGAGGUUCAGUGGAAGUGGGUCUGGGACAGAUUAUUCCUUUACCAUCAGCAGCCUGGAGCCUGAAGAUGUUGCAACUUAUUACUGUCAGCAAGGUUAUAGCUCAUACCACAGUGAUACAAAUCAUGACAAAAACCACCCGUAG
Molecule: non-coding RNA, 381 nt
Organism: Peromyscus californicus insignis
Lineage: Eukaryota; Metazoa; Chordata; Mammalia; Rodentia; Cricetidae
Source: the annotation of a RefSeq genome assembly